This 77-nucleotide transfer RNA is filed under the name Candidatus Nomurabacteria bacterium. Its description in RNAcentral is "tRNA-Trp". It matches the Rfam family "tRNA". From Rfam's summary of the family: Transfer RNA (tRNA) molecules are approximately 80 nucleotides in length. Their secondary structure includes four short double-helical elements and three loops (D, anti-codon, and T loops). Further hydrogen bonds mediate the characteristic L-shaped molecular structure. tRNAs have two regions of fundamental functional importance: the anti-codon, which is responsible for specific mRNA codon recognition, and the 3' end, to which the tRNAs corresponding amino acid is attached (by aminoacyl-tRNA synthetases). tRNAs cope with the degeneracy of the genetic code in two manners: having more than one tRNA (with a specific anti-codon) for a particular amino acid; and 'wobble' base-pairing, i.e. permitting non-standard base-pairing at the 3rd anti-codon position. The record is from RNAcentral. Lineage: Bacteria; Candidatus Nomuraibacteriota.
AGGGGCAUAGCUCAGUUGGUUAGAGUGUCGGUCUCCAAAACCGAAGGUCGUAGGUUCGAAUCCUACUGCCCCUGCCA